RNAcentral lists this ribosomal RNA (398 nucleotides) under uncultured bacterium. Its description in RNAcentral is "bacterial SSU rRNA". It matches the Rfam family "Bacterial small subunit ribosomal RNA", at positions 361 to 775 of the family's 1533-position model. The record is from RNAcentral.
AUAUUGCACAAUGGGGGAAACCCUGAUGCAGCGACGCCGCGUGAGCGAAGAAGUAUUUCGGUAUGUAAAGCUCUAUCAGCAGGGAAGAAGAAUGACGGUACCUGACUAAGAAGCUCCGGCUAAAUACGUGCCAGCAGCCGCGGUAAUACGUAUGGAGCAAGCGUUAUCCGGAUUUACUGGGUGUAAAGGGAGCGUAGGCGGUCUGACAAGUCAGAAGUGAAAGCCCGGGGCUCAACCUCGGGACUGCUUUUGAAACUGCCGGACUAGAUUGCAGGAGAGGUAAGUGGAAUUCCUAGUGUAGCGGUGAAAUGCGUAGAUAUUAGGAGGAACACCAGUGGCGAAGGCGGCUUACUGGACUGUAAAUGACGCUGAGGCUCGAAAGCGUGGGGAGCAAACAG